UUUAUUCAAUAUGACUUAGUUCAUUAUAUGUGUUUUUACUCUAAACACACGUGUGUUGCAACAGUAGCAAAAACCGUUUCUCCGUUAUUCAGAUGGUACUACUUUAUAAGACAAGAUCGCUAGCUGCUCAUGCUAGCUAUAGUAGCUAUCAGUUGAGCUCUCGGGCUGUAACAUGUACAGACGAGAUCAGAAGCUCCCUCGUGUCCCCAAACCUCCACGAUACACGUAAGAAAGCUGUAUAUUGUUAACGUGUUUCCCGUUUAUGUCGGCGGGUUGUAUCUGUGAAACUAGCUCUGUUUAUGUAACUCUGCUGCGGUCUCACGGCGGCAAUUUACUUCCGGGUUGAGCUCGGCGAGAAAGAGCGGAUAUCACGAGCUGACUCGCGUCCCAAACCUCCGCGAUACACGUAAGAAAGCUGUGUGUUGUUAACGUGUUAAUCGUUUUAAUUCGGCGGGUUGUAUCUGAAACUAGCUCUGUUUACAUAACUGACGCUGUCUUCCGGCGGCAUUUGACUUCCGGUUUGUGAUCGGCGAAGAAGAGCGGAUAUAACGAGCUGACUCGCGUCCCAAACCUUCGCGAUACACGUAAGAAAGCUGUGUGUUGUUCACGCGUUACCCGUUUAAAUUCGGCGGGUUGUAUCUGUGAAACUAGCUCUGUUUACGUAACUGCCGCUGUCUUCCGGCGGCAUUUGACUUCCGGUUUGAGAUCGCCGUAGAAGAGCGGAUAUAACGAGCUGACUCGCGUCCCAAACCUUCGUGUUACACGUGACACACAAUCAGGCUCCUGCUGUGGCAGUGGACACGGAGACGCCUUUAGACUGGACUACAUAUGAUGGAUGUGACCCAAAUAGAGCUACAGUCAGUGACACACAAUCAGGCUCCUGCUGUGGCAGUGGACACGGAGACGCCUUUAGACUGGACUACCUCUGAUGGAUGUGACCCAAAUAGAGCUACAG
Molecule: long non-coding RNA, 955 nt
Organism: Pseudoliparis swirei
Lineage: Eukaryota; Metazoa; Chordata; Actinopteri; Perciformes; Liparidae
Exons: 3
Source: RefSeq, a predicted model, not a curated record